This 930-nucleotide long non-coding RNA is filed under the name Ananas comosus (pineapple). Its description in RNAcentral is "long non-coding RNA (ACOM_LNC029324)". The record is from RNAcentral. Lineage: Eukaryota; Viridiplantae; Streptophyta; Magnoliopsida; Poales; Bromeliaceae.
AUUGCAUCAAUAAAACCCAUAAGUUCACAAUUCUGCCUAAAAACACCAGUUUGAAGUGAAAAAAAAAAAAAAAAUCAUCCAUUCAAUAAGCCCAUUCAUGAACACGAGUUGGUGGGCAUUAUGAAAGCCCGUUAAAAUGUUCAGCCCAUGCAAAUAAAAAACGGGGCUCAUUCCAGCCCAUUAAAUAUUAUCAUUUGGGCCUAAUAAAUUAAAGCGGGUCUGAUCAAUGACGGCCCACAUCCACACCCUAUAAAAUAUCUGUUCGAAAUUCGAUUUUAAAUCACAAUCCAUUCAAAAUUCGAUUUCGAAUUUCGAAUUUCGAAUUCUCAACCAAUUUCCAAAAUAUCCUCCAACAACCCAUUCAAAAUUCGAUUUUGAAUUUCGAAUUCCUAACCAAUUCUCAAAAUAUUCUCUAACAACUCAUUCAAAAUUCGAUUUCGAAUUUCGAAUCUCCAACCAAUUCCCAAAAAUCCUCCAACCAUCCAACAACCUAUUCAAAAUUCAAAUUCGAAUUUCGAAUCCCUCAAAAUAUCUCUCACCACCCCUCCCAUUAUAAAUACGAGAACCGAAAUCAAACAUGGGAUAAUUUUUUACGGAGACGAUAUAUAAAAAAAAAAAGAGAUAGAUUGCUACACACAUUUCCACGUUCAAAAUAUUCAAAGGAGGAGAUAUCACCGAGCCGCUGAAAGGAGGAGAUAUCGCCGAGCCGCUGAAAGGAGGAGAUAUCAUCGAGCCGCGGAAAGAAGAAGAAAUCAUUGAGCUGCUUCAUCCAAUCCAUCAUUUGAUCAACAGGUAAAAAAAAAAAAGAAAGAGAAAGAAAAAUGAAGAAGAAAAAAAGAAAACAUAAAAAGAAAAAAAAAGAAAAAAAAAGAAAGAAAAAGAAAAAAAAAAUCUCUCUUCUUCCCCCCUCCCUCUAAUUUUUUUUUUUUU